UACGUAGGGUGCAAGCGUUAAUCGGAAUUACUGGGCGUAAAGCGUGCGCAGGCGGUUUUGUAAGUCUGUCGUGAAAUCCCCGGGCUUAACCUGGGAAUUGCGAUGGAUACUGCAAGGCUAGAAUCUGGCAGAGGGGGGUAGAAUUCCACGUGUAGCAGUGAAAUGCGUAGAGAUGUGGAGGAACACCGAUGGCGAAGGCAGCCCCCUGGGUCAAGAUUGACGCUCAUGCACGAAAGCGUGGGGAGCAAACAGG
RNAcentral lists this ribosomal RNA (253 nucleotides) under uncultured bacterium. Its description in RNAcentral is "partial 16S ribosomal RNA". It matches the Rfam family "Bacterial small subunit ribosomal RNA", at positions 524 to 776 of the family's 1533-position model. The record is from RNAcentral.